RNAcentral lists this ribosomal RNA (1333 nucleotides) under Leptopilina clavipes. Its description in RNAcentral is "SSU rRNA". It matches the Rfam family "Eukaryotic small subunit ribosomal RNA", at positions 3 to 1271 of the family's 1831-position model. The record is from RNAcentral. Lineage: Eukaryota; Metazoa; Arthropoda; Insecta; Hymenoptera; Figitidae.
CCUGGUUGAUCCUGCCAGUAGUCAUAUGCUUGUCUCAAAGAUUAAGCCAUGCAUGUCUAAGUGCAUGCCAAAUUAAGGUGAAACCGCGAAUGGCUCAUUAAAUCAGUUAUGGUUCCUUAGAUCGUACCCACAUUUACUUGGAUAACUGUGGUAAUUCUAGAGCUAAUACAUGCAAACCAGAGUUCCGACCAGAGAUGGAAGGAACGCUUUUAUUAGAUCAAAACCAAUCGGUGGCGGGCUUUGCUCGUCCACCGUUUACUUUGGUGACUCUGAAUAACUUUGUGCUGAUCGCACGGUCUCGUACCGGCGACGCAUCUUUCAAAUGUCUGCCUUAUCAACUGUCGAUGGUAGGUUCUGCGCCUACCAUGGUUGUAACGGGUAACGGGGAAUCAGGGUUCGAUUCCGGAGAGGGAGCCUGAGAAACGGCUACCACAUCCAAGGAAGGCAGCAGGCGCGCAAAUUACCCACUCCCGGCACGGGGAGGUAGUGACGAAAAAUAACGAUACGGGACUCAUCCGAGGCCCCGUAAUCGGAAUGAGUACACUUUAAAUCCUUUAACGAGGAUCAAUUGGAGGGCAAGUCUGGUGCCAGCAGCCGCGGUAAUUCCAGCUCCAAUAGCGUAUAUUAAAGUUGUUGCGGUUAAAAAGCUCGUAGUUGAAUCUGUGUCGCACGCUGUCGGUUCGCCGCUCGCGGUGUUUAACUGACAUGCUCGUGAGACGUCCUACCGGUGGGCUUAGCUCCUUCGGGGGCGGUCCAACUAAUAUCCCAUCGCGGUGCUCUUUAUUGAGUGUCGAGGUGGGCCGGUACGUUUACUUUGAACAAAUUAGAGUGCUUAAAGCAGGCUAUCAUUUGCCUGAAUAUUCUGUGCAUGGAAUAAUGGAAUAGGACCUCGGUUCUAUUUUGUUGGUUUUAAGAAACCCGAGGUAAUGAUUAAUAGGGACAGAUGGGGGCAUUCGUAUUGCGACGUUAGAGGUGAAAUUCUUGGAUCGUCGCAAGACGGACAGAAGCGAAAGCAUUUGCCAAAAAUGUUUUCAUUAAUCAAGAACGAAAGUUAGAGGUUCGAAGGCGAUCAGAUACCGCCCUAGUUCUAACCAUAAACGAUGCCAGCUAGCGAUCCGCCGAAGUUCCUCCGAUGACUCGGCGGGCAGCUUCCGGGAAACCAAAGCUUUUGGGUUCCGGGGGAAGUAUGGUUGCAAAGCUGAAACUUAAAGGAAUUGACGGAAGGGCACCACCAGGAGUGGAGCCUGCGGCUUAAUUUGACUCAACACGGGAAACCUCACCAGGCCCGGACACCGGAAGGAUUGACAGAUUGAGAGCUCUUUCUUGAUUCGGU